CGCUGGCGGCGUGCUUAAUACAUGCAAGUCAACUUGACUUAGAUAGCAAUAUCGAAAGUAGGGUGGCGCACGGGUGCGUAACGCGUAGGUAAUCUGCCCUGAGGUCUGACAUAACCCGUCGAAAGGCGGGCUAACAUCAGAUGAUAUAUAAUCACGACAUCGUGGAAAUAUCAAAUCUUCGGAGCCUUGGGAUGAGCCUGCGUCUGAUUAGGUAGUUGGCGGAGUAAUAGCCCACCAAGCCUACGAUCAGUAGCUGGUCUGAGAGGAUGAUCAGCCACACUGGAACUGAGACACGGUCCAGACUCCUACGGGAGGCAGCAGUAAGGAAUAUUGCUCAAUGGGGGAAACCCUGAAGCAGCAACGCCGCGUGAAGGAUGAAAUACUUUGUAUGUAAACUUCUGUAAGAUGGGAAAAAUAUUCUCCUCGGGAGAAUUGAUUGUACCAUCAGAGUAAGCCCCGGCUAACUACGUG
RNAcentral lists this ribosomal RNA (471 nucleotides) under uncultured bacterium. RNAcentral describes it as "bacterial SSU rRNA". It matches the Rfam family "Bacterial small subunit ribosomal RNA", at positions 34 to 507 of the family's 1533-position model. The record is from RNAcentral.